UCAACCGUUGAAGUGAACAUAAUCGUACCGAGCUUUUUGAAUUUAAUUAAGCAGUUUAAAGCGCCAGAAAUCCGAGCUCUGGUCUAUAGAAAAAUGUAAUUAUACCAAAUGGUGUAACAUUAACGAAAACGUGCCAUGAAAGGCGUAUUGGGCACUGGAACCCAGGCUCAUUUCUAAGCUGUGUCUUUGUGGCUGAGUUGUAGAGAGUGUGGUGUGUGUCUGUCCAAAACGGUAAUGACAACGGGGCAAGGAUCGGGCGACGGGAUAGGCGCUGGGCAAUGGCACGAAACGAACUCUUCGCCAAAGUGCUUUAUAUAUGGUAUUUUGUAUUUGGUUUGGAGUCUGUGGACUGGGGGCGGGAUGGUGUGGCGUGAUAACACCUAAAUUAUUUUUUCAAAGGAUUAAAUUAAAUUCUAUUUGGUUUCGAAAAAACGGAAUAUGCCCAGUGUCUGUGUGUGUGUGUGUGUGUGUGUGAGCGUGUGCGUGAGUGUAUAUGUGUGAGUGCCUAUCUGUGGGGCUGCAUACAGCGCUGAGGCGGGGCGCUGUUCUCUGGCGAUGCUGUUCUGAUACCCUGUACAUUUUAUUUGUCCACAAAGGGGCUUACUAAUUUCCAAUCAUAUAAAAUGUACACAUUUA
This 636-nucleotide small RNA is filed under the name Drosophila virilis. Its description in RNAcentral is "GJ26206". Lineage: Eukaryota; Metazoa; Arthropoda; Insecta; Diptera; Drosophilidae. The record is from RNAcentral.